UUAGCCGCUCUGAGCCCGGCUUUGGCCGGGGAGGGCGGGAUACAAAUAAAAAAUUCUUAUUCUUAUUCUUAUUCUUAUUAUGGCAUAAAUUUUCAUGGACUAUGACUGUCUUUAAGAUAAGUCCACACAUCACAUGAAAGUUCUCAGCUUUCACCCAUUCCAAAGACUAACCCAGUCUUUAAGGGGAGGGGUGCUUUUCAGCCCUCUUUCCAAAAGUUACCAGAAGGUCUGGACCAAUACUGUGUGGCACAGUAGUACUGUAAACAUAAUAAUUAUAUGAUCAGCAUUUUUGUUCAGGGUCAACACUGACAACAAAAGUUGUAUCUCUUGGCCAAGGAGCUUUUAGAGAGCGACUAUUUUAUACAUAUGCAUUGCCAUAUGAUUCUUUGUGCUGGCAAAUGGAUGUUAGUUCAAAAGUCAUGCCUCUUUAGAAACAUGUUUUAUUGGUAAAAUAUAACUGAUUAAACAUUUUGGUAGGCUAAUUAACUCAGGGUUAUAUUUAUGUGCUAAUGUGAUUGCUUCCUUUAUAAUUUUGCAUGUAAACCUGUACCCAGUUGACUCCUAAGCGCAGUGUUCAUGUUAUCUAGCCUGCCAUUUCACCUCUUUAUAGCAGUAUCUCUGGUCAUAACAGAAAAGGCAUUGCAGGAAGCUCUGCAGAUCUUGACUGACUGCAUUUGAGGAAAAACACUUCAGCCAAGUUUACCUUUUGUAAGUACAAUUCACUAGGCUUGACCUGUUUCACACAUACAAUCCUCUCUAGCUGUUUCUGUGCUUUUCCAUGAUUUGGACCUACAUGCAGCGCAGUUGUUAUUCCAGUAGAAUUGUCAAAGAAUGGCAAUAAUUCACACCAAAUUGUAAUACAGUGGACCCUCUAGUUACAUACCGCUCUGGAUACGUACCUUUCGGGUUAUGAACACAGCAAACCUGCCUACGGACUUUUUGGGUUGCGGAUGGAUCUCCGGAAUGAAUUUAAUUCAUAUCCGUGGAGGGUCCACUGUCCACCUUUCUUGCAAGGUCGAGAAAAGUAUAAUUCUGGAAACUGAAUAACACAUGAUUCACUGAUUUGGAAUGAUCACUCCCAAUGUGGUGUAAAUGAAUUAGCAGUUUAGCACAUAAUGGACCUGAUCAUCUUUCCCAGUCAGGAAAGUUUCCAUGUUGACAAAUUGUUCAGAUUUUUCAAACUGUGUGUGGGGAAAAACAUGUAAAGUUUGUUCAUCAUUCUGUGUGCUGGCUAAGACAGAGUCUGAAUGAGAACAAUCCACUCAUCCUUAGAAUUCUGAAAACUGAGGAGCAUUGCUGGAGCUUUGAAUAAAAAUAUUGUAUAAUCAUUGAGAGAGGAUCCUAUCUGUGUAAUAUGCAGCCUUAGAGAAUUUUUCAGUACCAUGUACUACUUUACUGUAUUUUGUCAUAAUAUGUUAAAACACAGCUAGUUGCUAACUGUUAUGGACCACGCUUGCAUUUUCACAACUGGAAAAUAUUUCAGCAUAUGCAUUAAGUUGAAAUGAAUCUUCCAAAUUGGUUCAGACAAUUAGCUGGAAUAAGGACCAACAGCCUCUAACUGAGACAUAGUAGUUGCUAUAUCAUAUCAGGUUUCUGGCUCAGCAAAUAAUGAAUUCUGUCUACAAUAUAAAGGCCAGAACCAGAUGUUUCAGUGAAAGAAGCUGGAUCCCUGCAGUUUUUAACUGUGUAGUAUGCAAACCAUUCCAUGUAAGCAUAACACUUCUCUUUUGUAUCAUGAUACCAAACUGGAAAAGCUCCCUCUUACUUUUAUAGGCUUUGGAUCAAGCAAUUAGAAGUUGUGUCUUAUAGAACCAGAAUCAUGCCCAUAAUUAACUAUUGUUUACAUGAUGAUUGCAUGAGCAACAAAUUACCAUUUUGUUUUUAUUUAUUUAUUUAUUUUGAGAUUAUGGUUUAAUGCCAGUGAUCAAACAGAUUUCCUUGCAGAGAGAGAAAAUAAUCUCAAAGUUGCCUUGAUAAAUUAAACUUCAGGAAAUGAAUAACCUUUGUAGCUGUAGCUCAUUUAUCUCUGUUUCACUUGUGCUUUAGUAUGCAUGUUCUGCCUUCUGAGUCAAGAGAGCUAGUUAUUAUAGCAAAAAGCAGCUAUACAAAUCUGCCAUGUUCCUAUUUUCUUUUAAGGAAUAGUUUUAAUGAAUGAAUAAUAAAAGCUUUCUGGACUUUACAUUCACUAAGAUUUUUCCUCUUGAUGCCAAGUCAUAUGACUUUUUAUCCUUUUUCCCCACAUGGUCCGUCGUCUAAUUAAAAGAUAGCCAUUGAAGCUUUUCAUCGUAGGGUAGUUGGUUCCAUUAUUAAGUGUACUCUGUGUACACAUAGCAGUCUUUCUUUCUUUCUUUCUUUCUUUCUUUCUUUCUUUCUUUCUUUCUUUUAUUGCCAUUUAUAUAUUAAAAAAAUAUCCAACACUAUCUUAAGAGUACUGAAGUUGUAAAUCUGUGGCAGGCAUGACCCUUGUAGGAUUUCUCCUAUAUUUUCCACAGUAUUUCCAAUCAGAGUGUUUAUGCUACAGUUCAGUGCUGUGAUCAUGUCAGAGGUUUCGAUUAUUUUGUGACAAGCUUCAGUGGUGAAAGAAGAGUUAUUUGAAAGACAGCUUCUUUUUGUGCAUCUAGUAGUCAUGACUCAUUAUAAAGUCACAUGGUGUGUGGUGAAUGAAAACAGAAAAGAAAGGGGUGAAAGUAUUUGUUUGUCUAGACUCCAGUUCAGAUACCAUGUCAAAUCAUAAAUGCAAACAAGCUUCAUGUGCUCUCAUGAUAGAACCAUAGUGAAUAUUUUUUUAAGUCUAGUAUCAGAUUUGAAAUAAUUGAUAAACUCUAGCCUCCUUUAGACCUUCAAAAAGAAUGUGUGAGGGGAAGACAAUAGAAAGGAACGUGCCCUGGGCACUCUCCCUGCACUCCAACCUUCUUGCAUUGAGUGGAUGAGGAACUGGAAAUUUUGCCAGCCUUAAGCUUGUUUUACAAUUUGUUUAAUAAAAAUACAAUUAUUGUGCUAUGUGUGUGACAUAAGCUGGUGAUAUCCAGCGUUAGAAAUACUCUGAGUAAACCCUUUGAAAUCUGGGUGUCAGUCAGACAGUGUCUUUGUUAUCUGAAAAUAAUCAAUUGUUUUUAAUAUCUUUCUCUAAAAUAGUAAAAAUCUGCAAAUAUUUAAGAAACUUAUACUCUAUCCUUAAUCAAUCAAUAUGCUUUUUUGGGUUGUAGCAUAAUAAACAUUAUCUAACAAACAUUAGUUAAAAGCCAACUAAAUAAGAAAUAAAAAAAUUACAGUGGUACCUCUGGUUACAUACUUAAUUUGUUCCGGAGGUCCAUUCUUAACCUGAAACUGUUCUUAACCUGAAGCACCACUUUAGCUAAUGGGGGCCUCCCGCUGCCGCCACACAAUUUCUGUUCUCAUCCUGAAGCAAAGUUCUUAACCAGACGUAUUAUUUCUGGGUUAGCGGAGUCUGUAACCGGAAGCGUAUGUAACCUGAAGCGUAUGUAACCCGAGGUACCACUGUA
This 3503-nucleotide long non-coding RNA is filed under the name Podarcis lilfordi (Lilford's wall lizard). The record is from RNAcentral. Lineage: Eukaryota; Metazoa; Chordata; Lepidosauria; Squamata; Lacertidae.